This 847-nucleotide ribosomal RNA is filed under the name uncultured Planctomycetota bacterium. RNAcentral describes it as "bacterial SSU rRNA". It matches the Rfam family "Bacterial small subunit ribosomal RNA", at positions 53 to 896 of the family's 1533-position model. The record is from RNAcentral. Lineage: Bacteria; Pseudomonadati; Planctomycetota.
GCAUGCAAGUCGAACGAGAAAGCUUCCUUCGGGGAGCAAGUACAGUGGCGAAAGGGUGAGUAAUGUAUGGAUGACUUACCCUCGAGACGGGGACAACAGUUCGAAAGGACUGCUAAUACCCGAUAGUUCCAUAUGCUCAAGGGCUUAUGGAUAAAUGGUGAUUCCGCUCGAGGAGAGGUCCAUAUCCUAUCAGCUUGUUGGCGGGGUAAUGGCCCACCAAGGCUUUGACGGGUAGCCGGACUGAGAGGUUGGCCGGCCACACUGGGACUGAGACACUGCCCAGACUCCUACGGGAGGCUGCAGUCGAGAAUCUUCCGCAAUGGGCGAAAGCCUGACGGAGCGACGCCGCGUGCAGGAGGACGGCCCUCGGGUUGUAAACUGCUGUCACACGUUAAGAAAUUCUGCGUUUAAGCGCAGUUUGACAAAAGCGUGAGAGGAAGUCACGGCUAACUUCGUGCCAGCAGCCGCGGUAAGACGAAGGUGGCGAACGUUGUUCGGAAUUACCGGGCAUAAAGCGCGCGUAGGUGGCUUGGCAUGUCAAUGGUGAAAUCCCACGGCUCGACCAUGGAACUGCCGUUGAAACUGCCUUGCUUGAGGUCAGGAGGGGAGAGUGGAAUUCCAAGUGUAGCGGUGAAAUGCGUAGAUAUUUGGAGGAACGCCGGGGGCGAAAGCGACUCUCUGGACUGAUUCUGACACUGAGGCGCGAAAGCUAGGGGAGCAAACAGGAUUAGAUACCCUGGUAGUCCUAGCUGUAAACGAUGGGCACUAGAUGGAGGGAGUUCCGAUGCUGUCUCUGUCGUAGCUAAUGCGUUAAGUGCCCCGCCUGGGGAGUAUGGUCGCAAGGCAA